Non-coding RNA from Bradyrhizobium lablabi, 51 nucleotides. The record is from Rfam. NCBI's taxonomy places the organism in Bacteria, Pseudomonadati, Pseudomonadota, Alphaproteobacteria, Hyphomicrobiales, Nitrobacteraceae.
CGGGGGAAAUCGCAGCCUCCCCGUGAAAUGGUGAUCCCAUUCAAGCGCUGC